This 482-nucleotide ribosomal RNA is filed under the name uncultured bacterium. RNAcentral's name for it is "partial 16S ribosomal RNA". It matches the Rfam family "Bacterial small subunit ribosomal RNA", at positions 30 to 507 of the family's 1533-position model. The record is from RNAcentral.
AUUGAACGCUGGCGGCAUGCUUUACACAUGCAAGUCGAACGGUAACAGGCCGCAAGGUGCUGACGAGUGGCGAACGGGUGAGUAAUGCAUCGGAACGUGCCCAGUCGUGGGGGAUAACUACUCGAAAGAGUAGCUAAUACCGCAUACGAUCUAUGGAUGAAAGCGGGGGACCGUAAGGCCUCGCGCGAUUGGAGCGGCCGAUGUCGGAUUAGGUAGUUGGUGGGGUAAAGGCUCACCAAGCCAACGAUCUGUAGCUGGUCUGAGAGGACAACCAGCCACACUGGGACUGAGACACGGCCCAGACUCCUACGGGAGGCAGCAGUGGGGAAUUUUGGACAAUGGGCGCAAGCCUGAUCCAGCAAUGCCGCGUGCAGGAAGAAGGACUUCGGGUUGUAAACUGCUUUUGUACGGAACGAAACGGCUCUGGUUAAUACCCGGGGCUAAUGACGGUACCGUAAGAAUAAGCACCGGCUAACUACGUG